Molecule: transfer RNA, 73 nt
Filed under: Myxococcaceae bacterium
Lineage: Bacteria; Pseudomonadati; Myxococcota; Myxococcia; Myxococcales; Myxococcaceae
Description: tRNA-Thr
Rfam family: tRNA
About the family: Transfer RNA (tRNA) molecules are approximately 80 nucleotides in length. Their secondary structure includes four short double-helical elements and three loops (D, anti-codon, and T loops).
Source: RNAcentral
GCCGGUGUAGCUCAGUCGGUAGAGCACUCGCCUUGUAAGCGAAAGGUCGCGGGUUCGACUCCCGCCGCCGGCC